RNAcentral lists this ribosomal RNA (104 nucleotides) under uncultured bacterium. RNAcentral describes it as "partial 16S ribosomal RNA". It matches the Rfam family "Bacterial small subunit ribosomal RNA", at positions 524 to 627 of the family's 1533-position model. The record is from RNAcentral.
UACGGAGGAUGCGAGCGUUAUCCGGAUUCAUUGGGUUUAAAGGGUGCGUAGGCGGCUUCUUAAGUCAGUGGUGAAAUCCUGCGGCUCAACCGUAGAACUGCCAU